GCCCCGUUGGUCUAGUCAGGCCCAGGACGCCGCCCUCUCAAGGCGGAGAUCGCCGGUUCGAAUCCGGCACGGGGUA
Molecule: transfer RNA, 76 nt
Filed under: Gemmatimonadota bacterium
Lineage: Bacteria; Pseudomonadati; Gemmatimonadota
Also listed under: 1 other name
Description: Gemmatimonadetes bacterium tRNA-Glu
Rfam family: tRNA
About the family: Transfer RNA (tRNA) molecules are approximately 80 nucleotides in length. Their secondary structure includes four short double-helical elements and three loops (D, anti-codon, and T loops).
Source: RNAcentral